GUGCCAGCCGCCGCGGUAAUACAUAGGGGGCAAGCGUUAUCCGGAAUUAUUGGGCGUAAAGGGUGCGUAGGUGGUUAGAUAAGUCUUAGGUGUAAGUGCAGAGCUUAACUCUGUGAUGCUAGAGAAACUGUCUGACUUGAGUGUGGUAGAGGCAAGUGGAAUUCCAUGUGUAGCGGUAAAAUGCGUAAAUAUAUGGAGGAACACCAGUGGCGAAGGCGGCUUGCUGGGCCAUAACUGACACUGAGGCACGAAAGCGUGGGGAGCAAACAGGAUUAGAUACCCUGGUAGUCCACGCCGUAAACGAUGAGUACUAAGUGUUGGAGAAAUUCAGUGCUGUAGUUAACGCAAUAAGUACUCCGCCUGAGUAGUACGUGCGCAAGCAUGAAACUCAAAGGAAUUGACGGGACCCCGCACAAGCGGUGGAUCAUGUUGUUUAAUUCGAUGAUACGCGAAGAACCUUACCAGGUCUUGACAUCCCAUGCAAAGCUAUAGAGAUAUAGUGGAGGUUAUCAUGGAGACAGGUGGUGCAUGGUUGUCGUCAGCUCGUGUCGUGAGAUGUUGGGUUAAGUCCCGCAACGAGCGCAACCCUCGUCACUAGUUACUAACGGUUCGGCCGAGGACUCUAGUGAGACUGCCUUCGUAAGGAGGAGGAAGGUGAGGACGACGUCAAGUCAUCAUGGCCCUUACGGCUAGGGCAACACNCGUGCUACAAUGGNCAGGACAGUGAG
Molecule: ribosomal RNA, 728 nt
Filed under: uncultured Bacillota bacterium
Lineage: Bacteria; Bacillati; Bacillota
Description: bacterial SSU rRNA
Rfam family: Bacterial small subunit ribosomal RNA
Source: RNAcentral